AUGAACGCUGGCGGCGUGCCUAAUACAUGCAAGUCGAGCGCACAGACGAGGAGCUUGCUCCUCUGACGUUAGCGGCGGACGGGUGAGUAACACGUGGAUAACCUACCUAUAAGACUGGGAUAACUUCGGGAAACCGGAGCUAAUACCGGAUAAUAUAUUGAACCGCAUGGUUCAAUAGUGAAAGACGGUUUUGCUAUCACUUAUAGAUGGAUCCGCGCCGCAUUAGCUAGUUGGUAAGGUAACGGCUUACCAAGGCAACGAUGCGUAGCCGACCUGAGAGGGUGAUCGGCCACACUGGAACUGAGACACGGUCCAGACUCCUACGGGAGGCAGCAGUAGGGAAUCUUCCGCAAUGGGCGAAAGCCUGACGGAGCAACGCCGCGUGAGUGAUGAAGGUCUUCGGAUCGUAAAACUCUGUUAUUAGGGAAGAACAAAUGUGUAAGUAACUAUGCACGUCUUGACGGUACCUAAUCAGAAAGCCACGGCUAACUACGUG
Molecule: ribosomal RNA, 496 nt
Filed under: uncultured bacterium
Lineage: Bacteria
Description: partial 16S ribosomal RNA
Rfam family: Bacterial small subunit ribosomal RNA
Source: RNAcentral